GGAUCUGCCCGAUGGUACGGAAUAGCUCCGGGAAACUGGAAUUAAUACCGUAUGUGCCCGCAAGGGGAAAGAUUUAUCGCCAUCGGAUGAACCCGCGUCGGAUUAGCUAGUUGGUGUGGUAAAGGCGCACCAAGGCGACGAUCCGUAGCUGGUCUGAGGGGAUGAUCAGCCACACUGGGACUGAGACACGGCCCAGACUCCUACGGGAGGCAGCAGUGGGGAAUAUUGGACAAUGGGCGCAAGCCUGAUCCAGCCAUGCCGCGUGAGUGAUGAAGGCCUUAGGGUUGUAAAGCUCUUUCGCCGACGAAGAUAAUGACGGUAGUCGGAGAAGAAGCCCCGGCUAACUUCGUGCCAGCAGCCGCGGUAAUACGAAGGGGGCUAGCGUUGCUCGGAAUCACUGGGCGUAAAGCGCACGUAGGCGGAUUGUUAAGUCAGGGGUGAAAGCCUGGAGCUCAACUCCAGAACUGCCUUUGAUACUGGCAAUCUCGAGUCCGGAAGAGGUAAGUGGAACUCCGAGUGUAGAGGUGAAAUUCGUAGAUAUUCGGAAGAACACCAGUGGCGAAGGCGGCUUACUGGUCCGGUACUGACGCUGAGGUGCG
RNAcentral lists this ribosomal RNA (599 nucleotides) under uncultured bacterium. RNAcentral describes it as "bacterial SSU rRNA". It matches the Rfam family "Bacterial small subunit ribosomal RNA", at positions 121 to 755 of the family's 1533-position model. The record is from RNAcentral.